This is a long non-coding RNA of Vespa mandarinia (Asian giant hornet), 5541 nucleotides long. The record is from RefSeq and is a predicted model, not a curated record. NCBI's taxonomy places the organism in Eukaryota, Metazoa, Arthropoda, Insecta, Hymenoptera, Vespidae.
UUCGUUAGUUCGUAUCGUUUUUUUUUUGUCAAAUAGAAUAAGAUAAAGCUCGAUAGAUAAAGAAAAGAAAGUAAUCGAGCAAUGGAGAAACACCACAGAAUGUAAACGCGCGCGUUUGGAUGGUACACUAUCGCUCGCGUGUAAUAAACAACAGAUAACAGCACAUCUGUACGCGACGACGUCCGACGAGCGAGUGGAGCUACGGCCAAUACCCCCACCACCGCUCUUCGUGCCGCGCGACGCGUUCACGGAGCGUCUGUCGGGUAGAAGGGUGAGGAGAGGGGGAGAAAUAGAGAGCCGAACGAAGCCGAGCGCGAUCGAGCUCGGCAGUAGAGCACUGUAGUGGGAGCAAUACAGAAGGGAAAGAGUGUGCGGUAGGGGAGUCGCGCGCCGUUAACGCCGCCUGGUGGGGUUAACGUCAGGGGCGUGAGCGAAGAAGGGGCGUCCCAGCGAAACAGAGAUAGAGAGUGAAAAAGAGAAAGAGAGUUCUCUUAGCUUGCUCUAUACACCACCUCCGGCGGUACGUUCAGCUCCACGCGACUUCACGAGUGAAACAUUUCGCGGGUUUCGCGGGGAGCUUUUCCGCAAGACUCGCUGGUGGGAGGUUGAAGGUGGUGGAGGAGCGAAGGAAGGACAACGGUAUUCCCGUUAAUUGAACGACUCUCUCGCGUGGGGAAGGAGGUACCUGGAAGGGAGACGCGACACUCUCUACUCCGGAUCGAGAAGAGGGAGAAGGAUUACUCGCAGACCUAACCACCAGCUCAACCAGUUACCGCGGUUCAACUUUGCUGUUUUUCUUACCUAGUAGAUGCGACUCUAGAUAAGAGUUUUGACAAGUGCGCCUGCGACCGUCUAUGGGGUGCCGACUAAACGACGAGCCAUGGCUUGAGGAACUCAGGGAGAGGCACGUACGAGUUAGUGUUUUUAUUUCAAGAAAGCAGUGUGAUCAUUUGCAACAUAGCCACACUACGAAUGUUACUAUGGAUAAAUAAAUUAAGAGUUGUAAAAUUCAUAGAAUGGACGAAGAGGAGACCAGAAAGUCGAUAGAUAUGCGAGAAGUGUUAUAAAUUUCCUGCGGAAACCUCUGAUUUUUAGUGGCAAUGAUUUUGCAGGGACAUGACAUCCGCCUACGCUAGGCUACCAUGUAAGGUGCGUUUAUUUUGGCGACCUUUACGACGCGAGUUUACGAUCGCCUGAACGCUUUCGUGAACUUCGUAAUGAUUUUCGGAAGUUUGCGGAAAAAACAUCGAGGAGAAAAAAGUUUUUGGAUCGUUCGACUCUAUCAAGGAGGUUUCACGGGAGAAACAAUAAAAUUCACUGAAUUAUUAGCCGUUAUCGUGGACGGGAGUAGACAGCAGAAGUAAGAAACAGAUUCUUCUGAAAAAUGAAAUAGUAUAAAAAACGAAACAACAACAUUCAACUAACGUUGAGGAACGAUCGAAUAGCCAAAGGGAACUAGAGAAAGAGAGAGAAAAGGGACGCGAAAAAGAACGAUGUGUAUCGUAGCUCACGGAAAAAGGAAUGGAAAGUUAAGAAAAGGCAAAGGUUCAACAGGGGUAAGUCCAACAAGAAUAUUGAAAGCCGGUCCUUCGAACGAGGCCAGCGAUCAAGAGAGCCAAUUAUUUCGAAGACCCACCACCACUACUCGUACCCACCCGCUUUCUUUCUCCUUUCUUCUUCACCCCCGCAUACGCGUACUCACGUCGAACAUAUUUUUCCUACGUACCUUACGCGAAUACUCGAAGCGCACUCAAGCCACCAAAGUACUCACAUACGAAUAGUAUAUUCGAACGCGCGUUCGUUCGUUCCGUUUCGUUUCGUUUCGUUUCGUUCGUUUAUUCGAAGAGUACCGUAUACAUAAUACUCUUCGUACGUAGAUAGGUACGUACAUAGAGGUACAUUAUGCGAAUCGAGCUUCAUACAUCGUUUCCGUUCUAAUAAAGCUAAGGGUACCUUCUCGCGACCACCCUCAUUUCUCAAUCUCUUUUUCUCUUUUUUCUUUGCUGCUGCAAACAUUUACUUUGUCAACAUUCGACUAAAAAUAUCAUUAACUUUUUGCACUUCAAACGUAUUUACUUGUUCAAUUAGAAAAUAUUUUUUAUUCAUUGACGAACAAAUCAAAUAUUUUCUAUUUUUUAAUUAUUUAUUUUCCAUUAGGGAUACAAUUUUACAACGUCGAUAUCAAAUCGACGAUUAAUGGAAAAUAUCCGUAUACGCUUAUCUUUACUGUGCUUUGGUAGAUUUAAAAAACGAAGGACAUUGUGGCAUACUCUAAGUUAGAUUAUAUGAACCUACGGAGCAAUCUUAUGCAAUGGAGCUACUGAAAUCUUAAUUCAAGCAGGCGCGCUGUGCCAUUGAAUACGUUGACGGGGGUAGCGCCUUUCAAAAGCGUCGCUUACAAGCACGUUACACACACGGUUAGAUUCAUUUUUGAAAAUUCAGUAUCUCGAAAAAUUUAUAUGUAACCAAUACCGAAUAAACAACUGCACAUUUUAAUAUGCAUUCAAAUGAGUUUUAUGACUGCAAAAAAAUUGCAAUAAAAAGUUUUAGCAAUAUCGAUGCGUAAAUUCUUUUUUUUUUUUUUUUUUUUUUGAAAAUAUAUGAGGAGAAAUUAUACCAUGAAGUUGGGAUUAUAAUGAUGACAAAAGCACAUUGUUGAUUAAUAAGGAAACAUUGAAAAAGGAUAGAUAAGUAUGCGUUAAUGAUAACUUUGGAAGAAGAAAAAAGAGAAAGAACAUUUCUGAUCAUUUGAAUGACAUAGAGAAUUGUAGUUAUAGUAAUAAAUUUUUCGUAGAAGGAAAGAAAAGAUUCAUAUUACGCAAGAUAAAAUUUGAAGAUCCACUUGAACAUGAUGAUCAAGUAGAACUUUGUAGAAUCGCACACGAUCAUUUUGGCGUGUGAGAAAGGGCAAGAGAGUGUGGGAAGGUUAAACGGGAACGAGUUAGAGAAAGGAUACGAUUCUGCUUGUCUCUGGGACGGAAGUGACGUCGCAGUCACCGGCGGAAAUUCGUACUGGAAAUUCCGAUGGGUUCGAGAGGUUGUGGGAGAAAGGUAAAGGGAGGGCAACAAUCAGGGUAGACCCGGUAUUACGCUCCAUUCAUCCCCUACUGACACCCCUUACCACCCUCGAACCGUAUUUGGCUGACAAUUCUUCAUUUGCGUGCAGCAAACUCUCUACUGUGUGUGCCACGACCGUAGCGAAAGGUUUAAACCGCUGGUUGGUUCACAUUCGAAAGAGGCUACUGAUCCGUCUCUAUCACGUGAUUUUACUUUUAUUCCUUAUAAUCGUGAAAGUAACCUUUGUUCUUGGUUUAAACUUCGAAGAUGAUUAUUUAUUUACUUAUCUUAACUAUUCUUGACAAUUUAAUCUGUUAAGUCUAAUUACUUUAUGAAUCUCUUUUCGAUAAUUUAUAAUGACAAAUAAUCAACAUUUUGAAUAAUUUUUAAUUUAAUUGAAACCAUAGAUUUGUAUAUCAACAUUACGCAAAUGAUCAAAUUUGAUCUGUCGAAUGAUCAUCAUUUCAAGCUACGAGAAUGGAAGUUUCCUUGUUAGACCAAACAGUUACCUAGUACGAGAUGUGGAUAGACUAAGCACUAUUCUUUCUCGAGCACUAUUCUUUCUAUUUCUUUCCCUACAAUCUUUUUGAUGGUUUGAACAAGAUGACAAUUGAACUUGUCGAAGACAUCGCUGGGAUAAGGUCAAACGGGCAUUUCGUAUCGCAUUGUACAACGUAUGCAUCUACAUUGUCAAAAUGAUUGUACUUGACAAAAUGAUUAUUUUUAAUAAAUUUGAAAAGGGCAAAAAGGGCAUUAUCGUACUAUUCAUAUUUUUACAGAUUAUAUGAAUGAUUUGGUAAAUCAACAAUUUAGUAAUAUCUACAUCAUGUUUUAUCCAAAGGAAUUUGAAGAAAUCAUAGAAAUCAGGAUAAUAAGGAGAGAUAGAGAAAAAGAGAGAAAGAAAGAGAAUCGUUUGUACAAGCAUUUCUUCGACUGUUAGGUGGUCCAAUUUGAGAAGGUGCUAUACCAUGAGAAAAAAAGGAAGCAGAAAGAGUAAGAGAAGUGCCGUACGUGAGGGCCAACGGUAAGAGGGGAAAAAGGCAAGAGGAGGAAUGUCAAAUUGAUCCAUAUUAAUAAGAACGGAGAUUCGCGUUGCCGGACUUUUGCAUAAAUUUGAAUCGGCCCUCAUACAGCUCGCGGCAAGGGUUGCGAAUUUGAAUAAUCGAGAAUAAUUUCGAAGUUUUCUCGUGCAAACGCGAGGUAGCGUGCGCGCGUCCGCGACUACGGACGUGAUCAGCCGACGUUUCGAAAUAUUUCCUAGUGUAACGCUUUUCUCUCUUCUUCCAUCUCCUUCCCCCACUCCAACAUCAUCCACCACACUGCCAUCUCGUUCCGUCCGGUAGAUGUAGGUAAUUAACCGCAUGCACCAGCCAGAAUUGGAAAAAUACAGAACGCUUUAGAAAUCAGGCUGCGUUUUCGCUGUUUGUGGUUUUAAUAAAUUUUACGGACACCAGCAUGUUUUUUCUCCCUUUCUUCCCUUUCUUUCUUUCCUUUCUUUCUUCCUUUCUUUUUUUUUUUUUCCUCACCUGGAAAAAAGAAAUGUAGAGUAACUUUUACCAUACGCUGUUACGAAUCAAAAGUUUUUGACUCUACGAAAGGAGAUUAUUAACAUAUGAGGUUAGGAUGGACGAGAGGCGGCGUACCGCAUGAUUCGUUUAAAAUAUGCUCGCCGUAGGCGACUCGAACAUCUAGGGAAUUCGUACUGUUCAAAUACAAUUGGAUUUUGAUUUAGAGGAAUAUUGAAGAGUGUCUAUGAGAAAUUUGAUUUCUGGAUUGCAUAGAUUAUUACAAUUGAAUUGAAUGUACAUAGAUAUUCGAAUUAACAUAUAUGAAAAGUAUUAGAUAGUUAUUUUAAAUUACAGUAAAAUAGAAAAAAAAAAAAAAAAGAAGAAAAGAAAAAAAAUGUAAUAAUAUUCCCUGUUGCUCUGAACAUGUAUUCUUUUGGCUUGUCAUUUUGGAUUAAAAAUUGAUUACUUCAAUUGGAAUCGCAUCGCGCUUUGACGCGUGUCGGACCGAGGAGAGAUAUGCUCGUUUCGUUCCAUCUCUUGGCAGAUUAAAGGCAAUCUUAUCACAUAGAAUGACGAGGUCUUGUGAUCGAUCACAAAAAGUAUGCAACGGAACUAUCGCGUCUCUAAGAGAAUAGACAAAGACGGACAUGUUCGAGGAACGGACCACCCGUUGAGAAUGAGGAAUGUGGAACUGUACCAGCAGGGACGGAGAUCAGUCUCUUUCUCUCUCUUUCUCUCUCUCUCUCUCCCUCUCUCUCUCUCUCUCUAUACUUUUGCUCUUCUACACAUUUCGAAUCAAAUUUAUUUCGACCAUGUCCUAUCUAUGAUACCUGUCCCUCAAAAUGACUCGGUAGUUUUACGAUUAAUCUUUUUUUAAUAUUUUACACUUUGAAAGUAUUUUCUUUAUUAUUUAAAGAGAACGAAUAGCACGGAUAAAGUCUGUACGGAUAAUACAUAAAUAAAUAACACGAUAUGU